RNAcentral lists this ribosomal RNA (373 nucleotides) under uncultured bacterium. Its description in RNAcentral is "bacterial SSU rRNA". It matches the Rfam family "Bacterial small subunit ribosomal RNA", at positions 527 to 898 of the family's 1533-position model. The record is from RNAcentral.
GUAGGGAGCAAGCGUUGUCCGGAUUUAUUGGGCGUAAAGAGCGUGUAGGCGGCCAGGCAGGUCCGUUGUGAAAACUGGAGGCUUAACCUCCAGACGUCGAUGGAAACCGUCUGGCUAGAGUCCGGAAGAGGAGAGUGGAAUUCCUGGUGUAGCGGUGAAAUGCGCAGAUAUCAGGAAGAACACCCGUGGCUAAGGCGGCUCUCUAGUACGGUACUGACGCUGAGACGCGAAAGCGUGGGGAGCGAACAGGAUUAGAUACCCUGGUAGUCCACGCCGUAAACGAUGGGUGCUAGGUGUGGGGGGUGUCGACUCCCUCCGUGCCGAAGCUAACGCAUUAAGCACCCCGCCUGGGGAGUACGGCCGCAAGGCUAAA